CCUACGGGAGGCAGCAGUGGGGAAUAUUGGGCAAUGGGCGCAAGCCUGACCCAGCAACGCCGCGUGAAGGAAGAAGGCUUUAGGGUUGUAAACUUCUUUUAAGAGGGAAGAGCAGAAGACGGUACCUCUUGAAUAAGCUACGGCUAAAUACGUGCCAGCAGCCGGGGUAAUACGUAGGUGGCAAGCGUUGUCCGGGUUUACUGGGUGUAAAGGGGGUGUAGCCGGGCUGACAAGUCAGAUGGGAAAUCCGGGGGCUCAACCCCCGACCUGCGUUUGAAACUGUUGGUCUUGAGUAUCGGAGAGGCAGGCGGAAUUCCUAGUGUAGCAGUGAAAUGCGUAGAUAUUAGGAGGAACACCAGUGGCGAAGGCGGCCUGCUGGACGACAACUGACGGUGAGGCGCGAAAGCGUGGGGAGCAAACAGGAUUAGAUACCCCAGUAGUC
Molecule: ribosomal RNA, 442 nt
Filed under: uncultured bacterium
Lineage: Bacteria
Description: partial 16S ribosomal RNA
Rfam family: Bacterial small subunit ribosomal RNA
Source: RNAcentral